Molecule: long non-coding RNA, 922 nt
Filed under: Manihot esculenta (cassava)
Lineage: Eukaryota; Viridiplantae; Streptophyta; Magnoliopsida; Malpighiales; Euphorbiaceae
Description: long non-coding RNA (MESC_LNC010366)
Source: RNAcentral
CAGAAUUUCUGGAGAGUUUCUGACGAGUUGAGUUGCUGAUCAAAAGAUGAUUUUGCUGGUUUGGAGGCUCUCUUUUUAUAGCUGCAGAAUUUCAUCCAUCUAGGGUUUCAAAAUCCCUUUUUGAUUUGGUGUUUGACUCCUCUUAUGAUGUUGAAUUUAAUUGCAAUUGGAAUUCCUUGGAUGAGAAACUCUUUCGUGGCUCUUGGUUUUAUGUUGGUAGUGAUUGGGUUGGAUUUGGACUUCUGAAAAUUCGGAUUUCUGUUUUCUGCCCAAUUUCCCGCUCUUCUGUCAGUUUCUGCUGUCAAAGUGAUUUGCCUGGUGAUUUGAGUGUUUUGGGCAAAUCACUGACUCAAUCACUUUUCUGUGAGUUAGUCCUCUCUGCCUCUGCGAGUGAUUUGCCCAGUUUCUUCGAGUGUCUUGGGCAAAUCACUGCCCAUAUCACUUCUGCCUGUUGCCUCCAGUUUUCUGCUUCAGCUUGAUCUGGGCAGAUCACUGGGCAAAUCACUGACCCAAUCACUUUUCUGUCAAUUUUCUGCACUUUUUCUCCAAUUUUCCAAAUUCUUCCUUUUCUGUAAAAACAAGAUAAAAACCAUAAAUUAACCAAAAAGAAUGUGUAAAUAAACAAUAAUAAUUAUGAUAAAAAUGUGGCUAAAUUGUGCUUGAUCAGCAAGCAUGCAAAAGACUACUACGUUAUCUUAAUGGUACAGCCACUCAAGGUCUUUUGCUUCGUCCUUCAUCAACAUUCUCACUACAAUGUUAUUCAGAUAGUGACUGGGCUGGUUAUCCCGAUGAUCGACGGUCAACCGGAGGCUAUCUAGUUUAUUUUGGUGGUAAUUUAAUCUCCUGGUCUAGUAAGAAGCAGCCAACGGUAGCACGAUCAAGUACAGAAAGUGAAUAUAAAGCUAUUGCGAAUGCCACUGCU